Molecule: unclassified non-coding RNA, 1316 nt
Filed under: Haliotis rubra (blacklip abalone)
Lineage: Eukaryota; Metazoa; Mollusca; Gastropoda; Lepetellida; Haliotidae
Description: uncharacterized LOC124260061, transcript variant X3
Source: RNAcentral
CAAAUGAGCUUGACCUUUUCUCUAUAGAUGGAACCAAGUUCAUGAUAGGCGGUGAACCCGGAAAUCAAACUCAAUGUUGUGAGGUCGUCACGCUGGGUAGCGUUUGGAAAUGGCGUUUGUUUUGUUUAUUAUUAACAUUCCAAAUGAUUCAGGCGUAGUUGUGAACGCCAAGGAUGGACGGGAAGAAGAUGGAGACCUGGAGGAGAGCGUGGACCCCAAAGAGAGCGUGGACCCCAAAGAGAGCGUGGUCGAUCCGCCCUCACAAAGUGACCAACCCCGGACUGAGACUUCUUCACAGACUGUAGACGAAUCCGAGAAAACACCGGUUGUAGAGCCAGAUGCUCGACUAUCUGAGACAGACAUUGAAGUAGAUGCUGUGCCUGAUACAGAGGAAAGUGAAUGUGUGCCAGAAUCGGCUGAGAAACAAUCAGGGGAGAUAACUGGUGAAGCACAAGAACCCACAGACAAACCAGAAUCAGACAGUGUUGAAGCAGGGAGCAUAUUUGUAGAUUUUCUAGGUGAAGAUACAUUGAAAGAUAGAUUGAAAGAGACACUCAUCUCCCUACAGAUUGACAAUGCAGUCUGGCAGACAUCUCCCGAAGAAAAUAUUGUUCAGGUGUCCUUUGUUGAGGAGUCUGGACUGAGAUGUGAAGAAAUCAUCACUCGCCUUUCCAAUAUUGGUAUUGGGAGGAACCCAAACACCACCGUCAGUGUAUUUCCGACAUCAAUCCAUCUCCGCUACGAGCCAGCACCCAGUGAGGAAUCAGAGGUUCUAGAAAACUUUGAACCGAACUACAUAGCUAAGGAGGAAAAGGAACAUGAAUUCAGGGAUUCAAUCAAGUCAAGAUUGGUUGUGGCUCAGGUGGUUGAGUCAGUUCAGAGUAAUGCAAGGCUGACAUUUGAUUAUGUCAUGCUCAUCUUCCUAGCAAGCUGGAUAGCUGCUCUGGGUCUGGGAGAGAACAGUUCUGUGAUUUUAGUAGCCAGUAUGCUUAUAUCUCCACUUAUGGGUCCUAUAUUAGCAGGGAUUUUCGGCUCAGUUGUGAAGUAUGAUGACCUCAGGAACACUGGCAUCAAGUCUGAACUCAUUGGCCUGGGAAUAUGCCUUGUCUUUGAGGUGUCCAUCGAAGUCUUGCUGUAGGGCUGCUAAUUGCCAUCCCCUCGGGGGCAGGCGUGGCCCUGUCGAUCCUGGGGGGCAAUGCUGGCUCCUUGGUGGGUGUGGCCAUCUCAGCCUCUCUCCUACCCCCAGCUGUUAAUGCUGGAAUGUUGUGGGCUCUAUCAAUAACAGCUGCAAUAGCGCGCCUCCAGCCUUGGUGCAG